GACGAACGCUGGCGGCGUGCUUAACACAUGCAAGUCGAACGGAAAGGCCCUGCUUUUGUGGGGUGCUCGAGUGGCGAACGGGUGAGUAACACGUGAGUAACCUGCCAUCGGCUUUGGGAUAACUUCAGGAAACUGGGGCUAAUACCGGAUAGGAGCUCCUGCUGCAUGGUGGGGGUUGGAAAGUUUCGGAGGUUGGGGAUGGACUCUCGGCUUAUCAGCUUGUUGGUGGGGUAGUGGCUUACCAAGGCUUUGACGGGUAGCCGGCCUGAGAGGGUGACCGGCCACAUUGGGACUGAGAUGAGGCCCAGACUCCUACGGGAGGCAGCAGUGGGGAAUAUUGCACAAUGGGCGGAAGACUGAUGCAGCAACGCCGCGUGCGGGAUGACGGCCUUCGGGUUGUAAACCGCUUUCGCCUGUGACGAAGCGUGAGUGACGGUAAUGGGUAAAGAAGCACCGGCUAACUCCGUG
Molecule: ribosomal RNA, 468 nt
Filed under: uncultured bacterium
Lineage: Bacteria
Description: partial 16S ribosomal RNA
Rfam family: Bacterial small subunit ribosomal RNA
Source: RNAcentral